RNAcentral lists this signal recognition particle RNA (290 nucleotides) under Vombatus ursinus (common wombat). RNAcentral describes it as "Metazoan signal recognition particle RNA (ENSVURG00010024992.1)". It matches the Rfam family "Metazoan signal recognition particle RNA". Rfam says of the family: The signal recognition particle (SRP) is a universally conserved ribonucleoprotein. It is involved in the co-translational targeting of proteins to membranes. The eukaryotic SRP consists of a 300-nucleotide 7S RNA and six proteins: SRPs 72, 68, 54, 19, 14, and 9. Lineage: Eukaryota; Metazoa; Chordata; Mammalia; Diprotodontia; Vombatidae. The record is from Rfam by way of RNAcentral.
GCUAGACAUGGUGGUGCACACCAGUAGCCUCAGCUACUGGGAGACUGACUGAUCUCUUGAGCUUGGGAAUUCUGAACUGUGGUGGGCUUUGCUGAUUGAGCAUCUGCACGAAGUUCAGCAUCAACAUGGUGAGACCCUUGGAGUGAGGAUUCACCAGGUUGCCUGAGGAGGGGCAAACCAGCCCAGGUCGGAAACAGAGGUCACAGAUCCUAUACAGGUCAAUAGUGGAAAUGAACCUUUAAGAAGCCCCUGCACUUUCAGCCAGGUGAGAUAGAGAGACAUACACUUUU